RNAcentral lists this ribosomal RNA (468 nucleotides) under uncultured bacterium. RNAcentral describes it as "partial 16S ribosomal RNA". It matches the Rfam family "Bacterial small subunit ribosomal RNA", at positions 28 to 507 of the family's 1533-position model. The record is from RNAcentral.
GACGAACGCUGGCGGCGUGCUUAACACAUGCAAGUCGAACGGAAAGGCCCUGCUUUUGUGGGGUGCUCGAGUGGCGAACGGGUGAGUAACACGUGAGUAACCUGCCCUUGACUUUGGGAUAACUUCAGGAAACUGGGGCUACUACCGGAUAGGAGCUCCUGCUGCAUGGUGGGGGUUGGACAGUUUCGGCGGUUGGGGAUGGACUCGCGGCUUAUCAGCUUGUUGGUGGGGUAGUGGCUUACCAAGGCUUUGACGGGUAGCCGGCCUGAGAGGGUGACCGGCGACAUUGGGACUGAGGUACGGACCAGAGGCCUACGGGAGGCAGCAGGCGGGAGUAUUGCACAAUGGGGGGAAGCCUGAUGUAGCAACGCCGGGUGUGGGAUGAAGGCCUGCGGGUUGUAAACCGCUUUCGGCUGUGACGAAGCGUGAGUGACGGUAAUGGGUAAAGAAGCACCGGCUAACUACGUG